GCGCUUUUAGCUCAGUUGGGAGAGCGCUUGCAUGGCAUGCAAGAGUUCAGGGGUUCGACUCCCCUAGGCUCCACCA
This 76-nucleotide transfer RNA is filed under the name Ruegeria sp. AD91A. Its description in RNAcentral is "tRNA-Ala". It matches the Rfam family "tRNA". From Rfam's summary of the family: Transfer RNA (tRNA) molecules are approximately 80 nucleotides in length. Their secondary structure includes four short double-helical elements and three loops (D, anti-codon, and T loops). The record is from RNAcentral. Lineage: Bacteria; Pseudomonadati; Pseudomonadota; Alphaproteobacteria; Rhodobacterales; Roseobacteraceae.